GUGGGGAAUAUUGGACAAUGGGCGCAAGCCUGAUCCAGCCAUGCCGCGUGAGUGAUGAAGGCCCUAGGGUUGUAAAGCUCUUUCACCGGAGAAGAUAAUGACGGUAUCCGGAGAAGAAGCCCCGGCUAACUUCGUGCCAGCAGCCGCGGUAAUACGAAGGGGGCUAGCGUUGUCCGGAAUUACUGGGCGUAAAGCGCACGUAGGCGGAUAUUUAAGUCAGGGGUGAAAUCCCGGAGCUCAACUCCGGAACUGCCUUUGAUACUGGGUAUCUCGAGUAUGGAAGAGGUGAGUGGAAUUCCGAGUGUAGAGGUGAAAUUCGUAGAUAUUCGGAAGAACACCAGUGGCGAAGGCGGCUCACUGGACGACUGUUGACGCUGAGGUGCGAAAGCGUGGGGAGCAAACAGGAUUAGAUACCCGAGUAGUCC
Molecule: ribosomal RNA, 425 nt
Filed under: uncultured bacterium
Lineage: Bacteria
Description: partial 16S ribosomal RNA
Rfam family: Bacterial small subunit ribosomal RNA
Source: RNAcentral